GCGCGGGCGGCGGCAUGGAUGGAGCGGGCGUUCUGUGCGGUGUGUUCCGUCUUCUCGGCGCGGACCGCAUUCCCGUGGAUGUUCGCCCUCAGGGGCGGGGCUCGACACGAAAAGCAUCCGUGGACCUCAAGUUUGAGGUGAAACCAGGCUCAGGGGCCACCUGUCCUCGCUGAUCCAUGGAUUUCUGUGUGACCAGGUUACACCUAUGGAGCCGUGGCCCCGACUACCAACAGCUUGCUCAUCCCUCUACUCACACAGUCACCCGUCCCCUCACUCUCAUUUAUGCUUCACCUGUGAAUGGUGGUCCUGAGACAGCCAGUGCUGGAGCCCGUGUGAGCCUCGGGGCUCCUCCCACUCUG
Molecule: long non-coding RNA, 359 nt
Organism: Diceros bicornis minor
Lineage: Eukaryota; Metazoa; Chordata; Mammalia; Perissodactyla; Rhinocerotidae
Exons: 4
Source: RefSeq, a predicted model, not a curated record